GAGAUCGUUGGCGAGGUAGCGCACGGACGCCUCGAGCGCGGCCUUGGCGACGCCCAUGACGUUGUAAUGCGGCAUGACCUUU
Molecule: transfer RNA, 82 nt
Filed under: Erythrobacter sp. THAF29
Lineage: Bacteria; Pseudomonadati; Pseudomonadota; Alphaproteobacteria; Sphingomonadales; Erythrobacteraceae
Description: tRNA-Ser
Source: RNAcentral